This 450-nucleotide ribosomal RNA is filed under the name uncultured bacterium. RNAcentral's name for it is "bacterial SSU rRNA". It matches the Rfam family "Bacterial small subunit ribosomal RNA", at positions 329 to 794 of the family's 1533-position model. The record is from RNAcentral.
AACCAGACUCCUACGGGAGGCAGCAGUCGGGAAUAUUGCGCAAUGGAGGAAACUCUGACGCAGUGACGCCGCGUAUAGGAAGAAGGUUUUCGGAUUGUAAACUAUUGUCGUUAGGGAAGAUACAAGACAGUACCUAAGGAGGAAGCCCCGGCUAACUAUGUGCCAGCAGCCGCGGUAAUACAUAGGGGGCAAGCGUUAUCCGGAUUUACUGGGUGUAAAGGGGGCGCAGACGGCGAUGCAAGCCAGGAGUGAAAGCCCGGGGCCCAACCCCGGGACUGCUCUUGGAACUGCGUGGCUGGAGUGCAGGAGGGGCAGGCGGAAUUCCUGGUGUAGCGGUGAAAUGCGUAGAUAUCAGGAGGAACACCGGUGGCGAAGGCGGCCUGCUGAACUGCAACUGACGUUGAGGCCCGAAAGCGUGGGGAGCAAACAGGAUUAGAUACCCCAGUAAGC